CGCCGCGUGAGUGAUGAAGGCUUUCGGGUCGUAAAACUCUGUUGUUAGGGAAGAACAAGUACGAGAGUAACUGCUCGUACCUUGACGGUACCUAACCAGAAAGCCACGGCUAACUACGUGCCAGCAGCCGCGGUAAUACGUAGGUGGCAAGCGUUAUCCGGAAUUAUUGGGCGUAAAGCGCGCGCAGGCGGUUUCUUAAGUCUGAUGUGAAAGCCCACGGCUCAACCGUGGAGGGUCAUCGGAAACUGGGGAACUUGAGUGCAGAAGAGAAAAGCGGAAUUCCACGUGUAGCGGUGAAAUGCGUGGAGAUGUGGAGGAACACCAGUGGCGAAGGCGGCUUUUUGGUCUGUAACUGACGCUGAGGCGCGAAAGCGUGGGGAGCAAACAGGAUUAGAUACCCUGGUAGUCCACGCCGUAAACGAUGAGUGCUAAGUGUUAGAGGGUUUCCGCCCUUUAGUGCUGCAGCUAACGCAUUA
Molecule: ribosomal RNA, 476 nt
Filed under: uncultured Bacilli bacterium
Lineage: Bacteria; Bacillati; Bacillota; Bacilli
Description: bacterial SSU rRNA
Rfam family: Bacterial small subunit ribosomal RNA
Source: RNAcentral